AGGUUGUGGCACUCUGUGGGUUACUGACGGGAUUUGGAAACUUGUUUUUCUACAUUGCAUGCACAGACUGAAGUAUGUUGUGGACUGAAUUCCAUCAAUAUCUAUGCCAGAUGUGUGCACCUAUCCGCCAAUGCCUGGAAAAGCUUUUUGUCAGGAUCACUGCCAGUAUUUGGAGUCACAGGUACCACCAGUACCAACAGAUCUCAGGAGUUUUUUGAAGCACUGCAAAGUUCAAAAUGGAGAUGAUGUUUCGGUUAACUUUGAUGAAGAGAAAACAAUAGACACGGUUCUACAAAACACUACUUCUGAAAUUGAAAUAGGAAAAUCUGCAGCUAUUUCUCAAGGAACCCAUGAUCUACUAGCAACAAACCCAUCACUGUUGUCAAAGAGCCUUCAUGUUGCCAAACCGACGACAGAGUCUACAUGCAGAAUGUCGCAAAAUUACUGGAAAAGCAAAACGUCUCCGGAGCCUGUGGUCGAGGGGACACCAAUUUGUUGUGAGAGCAGGAGGCCAUAUAGAAGCUUGGCAACCAUUAUACAAGUGAGAACACGCAUGCAGUAUUAUGUACUGCACACAUAAUUAUGUGGAUGCGUUAUUUUAUAUAAUAUUAUACGUGCAGGUCGGAAUCACCAAUGCAAGUUUUUUUCAUCCUAAUCAAGUGGCUUCAAACGUUGAGUCAACAGACAAACUACCACUUUCUGCCAACUGCUAUAUGUACCUAGCGUAUGACAACAUGUGCAAUGUGAAUAGACUGAAGGUUGCAAGAGCAGCCUUACCAUUACCGCCCCCAAUGGACAAGGCAUGGCUCAAUAUCGAGAAGAUAAUUGACACGUUCCACCUUCCCAAUCAUGUAAACCCUGAAUGCCAUACGCUAUAUUCUCCUCAAAGGCUCAAAGAAAAGUGCCCUGACGCAAACACACAGGCUGGCGAGCAGACGUUUGUCUGGCUUGGUAGAUUUAAGCAUAUUCUGUGUGCAAUGAAUAAGCAGCACCAUCUAUUUUACCUGCACAGAAUGGUUCGAAGGAGGAAUGCAUACACAGUGAAAUGCUAUAAAGCUGGAAAAAAACCCAUUCUGCCAAGAUCCAAACUCUAAUUGACUCAUUCUCCUGAAUGCUGAAAUGCUAUAUACUUGCAUGCAUACCUAUGUAUUCCCUUUAACAAUCUCUCUAGUUCCGUGUAGCAAUCAUGCAAAUGUUCAUGCAAUGUUUGAUGAUCAGUGAUUCACUGGUCACUAGUCAAUUGGAAGGGAUGUUGCCACAAUGGAGCGAGCUAAUCUGAUGGCUUGAAUUGAUGAUCUUAUAGAAGUGAAAAUGAGAGGCAGAAUCUUAGCCAUCUCGGCCAAUUCAUUGCCGAGAUGUAGGAUUGCCCCAUUUGUGUACAAAUGUUAUUUGUCGAUGUUGCAGCAGGGCCAAGGACAUCACGAGUGGGGUGAAGGAUUUUGUGGAUUGGACUUUCAUACAUUCUGCUCAAUAGCCCAUCCGCAGCGAUGUUUUGGAGGACUCCUUAUGUGACGUUUGCUGCAUGUGGUCCCAGGAGGUGUUCUCCGGAGAUUGGCUGUAGGUGUGGUUCUGAUAGGAAGUUACGUUUCUGAUCUCGGUUGGGAAACUUCCCUUAGGGCAUAAAGACAGGCUGACCAUCUAUGGUUUGACGACGGUUUGAUAGAGAACUUGUACUCAGUGUUAAAUGAGAAGUGUGGGAGCCGGGCCGGGUAGGUACGUUGAAACCGAAUUCUGACACGGGGAGAGCAGUCAGGCAGCUUGAGGCACCUUUCUCCUAGGCUGAGUGUUUGUUUUGGGCUGGUAUAGUGUUUGUUUUGGGCUGGUAUAGUGUGUACGUACCUAGCUCCAGUUUGUGUGUAAUGAAAAUUUUCUAACAACUGGCCUUACCCAAACAGACCACACCCUUAAGCCAUCUCAAAUCAUGCAUCAAAUGAUCGAUUGAUACACAAAAGAAAGGGAUAGGCAACGCCUCACGUGAUGCUAGGUAAAUGCAGUGUGUGACGUCACACCCUCUGGUUGGAGGCAAGUUGCGCUCAAGAGUUUACACCAUGCUCCCGACUUCUGCUCAUAUCUCUUGUAGGGGACCAAAAUAGGAGAUUCCAAGCAGUCUUACAUCAUACAUAGGUGCCCCCUGAACUACUAAUUUUUACUGUUUGGAAUUUGGUUCAGAGAUAUACUAUAUUCUGGUGGAUUUGUAUGAAAAAACACUGAAUUAAUCGCUGUAAUCAUGCCACGGAAGCUACGAUUAUGUUCAAAGAAGAAGUAUGUACCUAAGAAGCAAACUAAGAGGAGCCAAGAAGCUACCAUACACCAAGACUUACAGGAAUUUUGUUCUGAUGAGUCCUCUCAAGCAGAUUCGCUGACACUAAAUGAUUUGUACGCAAAAAUGCACACAUUUUUACCUUCUUCCUGGAUAGACACAACUCAGUUAACGGAAGGAAACGUUUAUACGAUAAAGUUGUGCAAAAUUGAUUCCUUACCCUCAUCAUCAAGUCAGCCUCCCUUAGUAUCGCAUUCACUUCUAGUAAACAGAGAUUUAUCAUGGAAAUUGGUGAUUCAUGAUCUUGAAACUUUACCGAACCAUACAACUCUUAUCUCUAAGAUUCCAGCUAAUUUGAAUGUAAGCUCACUCAAAGAGCUAAUCCUAACCGUUGAAUCGCUACCUUUUGCCCAGGAAAUUCCGAUGAACAGUUUGUUGAAAUGGCGCAGGCAAAAAAAGGAAAGUUCAAAACAAAGAGAGGGGUAGUCAGAGCAUCUUUAAAAACUGGUGCCUUUACGGUAAACGACGAAGCCAUAUUUUCUGGAACAAUACGCACUUCCAGCUGCGAAAUUAUAACAAAAAGCGGAAGAUGCAAAUCUUGUAAUGCCUAUCGAAAGAAUUUACGCAUGGCCCAUAGUAGGUGGACGAAAAAGGGCAGCCCUCAGAAAUGUGCCAACGAUAGAUGUCUUAACACACCACAAAGAGUAAAAAAGUUGAAUACUUUACGUAGCAGAGUUUGUGUGGCCAAAAAAGAGGUAAAAAGGCUAAGAGCAAAGGUUGAAAAGUUAACCGAAAUGAAUGGUGUGACUGUAGAUGAGCCACUUCACAAUGAACUAAGCACCAUUGUAAGUGGUAAUGAUACCUCUAUUGAGAAGGACUUCCCUCAGGGUACAUUUCGAAGGCUAUUUUGGGAUGAACAGAAAAAGGCUGCAAAAGUUAAAAACGCUAGACAGAUGAGAUGGCAUCCGAUGAUGAUUAGAUGGUGUUUGAACCUGAAACUCCUAUCAACAAAAGCUUAUCACUCACUGCGAACUUCAGGUUUUAUUACAUUACCCUCAGAACGCACUCUAAGAGACUAUACUAACUACUUUAGUAGCAAACCUGGUUUACAACCGGAAGUUGACCUCAUGCUUGUUGAGGAAGCUUCCCUAGACAGCUCUCCUAAGUGGAGCAAGUACAUAGUAUUAUUGUUUGACGAAAUGAAAGUAAUGGAGAGCCUAGUAUAUGAUAAGCACACAUCUCAGGUAAUCGGCUUCACUGAGUUGGGAAAUCUUAACGAUCAGUUUGAUGAGUUGGAGAAACAAGAUAUCAAACCAUCAAUUGCCACACAUAUUCUUGGUAUUAUGGUCCGUGGAGUAUUUAGUAGCCUUCGAUUUCCCUAUGGUCACUUCCCUACUCAUGAUAUUAAAGGCACCAAACUCUAUUCUAUCGUAUGGGAAGCUAUUGAACGACUGGAAAGAUUAGGCUUCAAAGUAGUUGCUUUGACUUCUGAUGGUGCUAGCCCUAAUCGUAAAUUUUUUAACAUGCACUCUACAAAUAAAAAAGUAUGUUACAAGACCGCUAAUCCAUAUACGGAAGAGAAUAGAAACAUUUAUUUUUUUUCCGAUGUACCACAUCUUAUGAAGACCACGAGGAACUGUUAGUCGCAUUCCUUCUGCCACAACAACACAAGACAGCUCUGGAUAAAUGGAAAGCAUAUCAGUUGGACACACAUUAGGACCUUGUAUGAUGCUAAGCUUGCUCUCAGUGAAAAAUCGCAGGGACUUUAUCUGUUAAAGAAAUUGUCACGAGAGCACGUCUAUCUAAAAUCUUAUUCUAGAAUGCGAGUGGACCUUGCCGUACAAGCGCUGAGUACAACUGUUUCUAAGGGAAUGCAAUUUUAUGGGGGUGAUGAAACUACUGAAACGCAGAGAUUUAUCAAGAUGUUUGAUAAGUUUUUUGAUUGUCUCAAUGUACGCAGCCCUGAUGAGUAUCGACGUAAGAGAAAACCAGAUUUAAAACCCUAUACUUGUUCAUCUGACGAGCGCUUAACUUGGCUAGAAAGCGAUUUCUUGGGCUACCUUAAAGAGUGGGAAACAAGUGUGAAAGGUCGAGAAGGAUUUACAAAUGCUCAAAAGACUACGAUGAUGCUGAGUAGAGAAACACUUGAAGGAUUGCAUAUCACUGUACGGUCAUUCUGUGAGAUCACUCGUUAUCUACUUAGUAUUGAUGAGGGCAGGGUCCCAUAUCUUUUAAGUGAGCACUUUACGCAGGAUCCUAUCGAGAAUUAUUUUGGACAGCAACGGUCUCGUGGAGGGCGGUGCCAAAAUCCUACAGUGCAAGCAUGCAUUUCAUCUGCUCAAUCGCUACGAGUGCAAGGUAGCCUGGCAAUGAUGCCUCUGAGAGGUAAUUCUAGGCGCAAGAGAAGACUAAUUCCAGAUGAGGUAGUGGACGAACAACCUUUACGUAAACGACCCCGAAAAAAGAACUAAAUAACAAUUAAUUUUGUUUUUAAUUGAAGAUGUUUUUUAAAUGUAUUUAUACUGUUUAAAUUUGUUUUUAAAUGAUGAUGAUGAUGAUGUCAUAAUUAUACUGUUUGAUAACAAUUUUGUUUUUAAAUAA
RNA transcript from Halichondria panicea, 4861 nucleotides. RefSeq lists it as uncharacterized. The transcript has 10 exons. The record is from RefSeq and is a predicted model, not a curated record. NCBI's taxonomy places the organism in Eukaryota, Metazoa, Porifera, Demospongiae, Suberitida, Halichondriidae.